CAAUAGCGUAUAUUUAAGUUGUUGCAGUUAAAAAGCUCGUAGUUGGAUUUCGGGUGGGACGCAGCGGUCUCGCAUUGCGUUUGUACUGCUGCAGCCCUCCUUCUUGCCGGGGGCGGCCUCUCGGACUUCACUGUCUGGGGGUCAGAAUCGGCGAUGUUACUUUGAGUAAAUUAGAGUGUUCAAAGCAAGCUUACGCUCUGAAUAUAAUAGCAUGGGAUAACGCGACAGGACUCUGGCCUAUCGUGUUGGUCUAUAGGACCAGAGUAAUGAUUAAGAGGGACAGUCGGGGGCAUUCGUAUUCCGUUGUCAGAGGUGAAAUUCUUGGAUUUACGGAAGACGAACAUCUGCGAAAGCAUUUGCCAAGGAUGUUUNCAUUG
This 377-nucleotide ribosomal RNA is filed under the name uncultured eukaryote. Its description in RNAcentral is "partial 18S ribosomal RNA". It matches the Rfam family "Eukaryotic small subunit ribosomal RNA", at positions 592 to 975 of the family's 1831-position model. The record is from RNAcentral.